AGAGUUUGAUCCUGGCUCAGAACGAACGCUGGCGGCGUGCUUAACACAUGCAAGUCGAACGGGAUCCAGAGCUUGCUCUGGUGAGAGUGGCGCACGGGUGAGUAACGCGUGGAUAACCUGCCCUGGUAUCUGGAAUAACAUCUCGAAAGGGGUGCUAAUACCGGAUAAGCCUACGGAGCCUUCGGUCUCUGCAGGAAAAGGUGGCCUCUAUUUAUAAGCUACCGUAUCAGGAUGGGUCCGCGUACCAUUAGCUAGUUGGUAGGGUAAUGGCCUACCAAGGCUACGAUGGUUAGCUGGUCUGAGAGGAUGAUCAGCCACACUGGAACUGAGACACGGUCCAGACUCCUACGGGAGGCAGCAGUGGGGGAUUUUGCGCAAUGGGGGAAACCCUGACGCAGCAACGCCGCGUGAGUGAUGAAGGCUUUCGGGUCGUAAAGCUCUGUCAGUAGGGAAGAAAUGAGACGUGCUAAUACCACGUUUUCUUGACGGUACCUACAAAGGAAGCACCGGCUAACUCCGUGCCAGCAGCCGCGGUAAUACAAGG
RNAcentral lists this ribosomal RNA (544 nucleotides) under uncultured Geobacteraceae bacterium. RNAcentral describes it as "bacterial SSU rRNA". It matches the Rfam family "Bacterial small subunit ribosomal RNA", at positions 8 to 530 of the family's 1533-position model. The record is from RNAcentral. Lineage: Bacteria; Pseudomonadati; Thermodesulfobacteriota; Desulfuromonadia; Geobacterales; Geobacteraceae.